Molecule: ribosomal RNA, 447 nt
Filed under: uncultured bacterium
Lineage: Bacteria
Description: partial 16S ribosomal RNA
Rfam family: Bacterial small subunit ribosomal RNA
Source: RNAcentral
AACGAACGCUGGCGGCAGGCUUAACACAUGCAAGUCGAGCGCCCCGCAAGGGGAGCGGCAGACGGGUGAGUAACGCGUGGGAAUCUACCGUGCCCUACGGAAUAGCUCCGGGAAACUGGAAUUAAUACCGUAUACGCCCUACGGGGGAAAGAUUUAUCGGGGUAUGAUGAGCCCGCGUUGGAUUAGCUAGUUGGUGGGGUAAAGGCCUACCAAGGCGACGAUCCAUAGCUGGUCUGAGAGGAUGAUCAGCCACAUUGGGACUGAGACACGGCCCAAACUCCUACGGGAGGCAGCAGUGGGGAAUAUUGGACAAUGGGCGCAAGCCUGAUCCAGCCAUGCCGCGCGAGUGAUGAAGGUCUUAGGAUUGUAAAGCUCUUUCACCGGUGAAGAUAAUGACGGUAACCGGAGAAGAAGCCCCGGCUAACUUCGUGCCAGCAGCCGCAGUAA